This 386-nucleotide long non-coding RNA is filed under the name Homo sapiens (human). RNAcentral's name for it is "HSALNT0286011". Lineage: Eukaryota; Metazoa; Chordata; Mammalia; Primates; Hominidae. The record is from RNAcentral.
ACUGUUUGGAAUGCGAAGUCUUCCCUCUUAAAGAAGUCAAGGAAACUUAUUUUAUGCUAUUUGCAGUCUUUAAUAAUUGAGUAAGGCAGAGUCCUGUGAAGAAAAUUUGGAGCAUGUUUGUUUCUCUCUGCCUGUUUCCUCUAGAAUUUGGAAACUAUCUCCAUCAAAGAUUUCUGAAGCUUAUUUGGCCUUGUCUAGAACAUGCUGCCAUGUAUGACUGCCCCAAGUGACAGGAGAAAGCCAAAAACAAGACCCAGCAAUGGAAGUUUUAGCAGGAUUCCAGCUGUCAGAAUUAACCAUGAGCCAACUCCUAUAGAAUAACCAUCCAAUUGUAUCCUCCAUGCUUAGCCUGUUUGUCCAAGUAAAUUGCAGACUUAUCCAGAACA